This 300-nucleotide ribosomal RNA is filed under the name uncultured Truepera sp. RNAcentral describes it as "bacterial SSU rRNA". It matches the Rfam family "Bacterial small subunit ribosomal RNA", at positions 496 to 795 of the family's 1533-position model. Lineage: Bacteria; Thermotogati; Deinococcota; Deinococci; Trueperales; Trueperaceae. The record is from RNAcentral.
GCUAACUCCGUGCCAGCAGCCGCGGUAAUACGGAGGGUGCAAGCGUUAUCCGGAAUCACUGGGCGUAAAGGGCGCGUAGGCGGUCUGUUAAGUCCGAUGUCAAAUCCCGGGGCUCAACCCCGGAUCGGCGUUGGAUACUGGCAGGCUGGACGGCUGGAGAGGCGAGUGGAAUUACCAGUGUAGCGGUGGAAUGCGUAGAUACUGGUAGGAACACCCAUUGCGAAGGCAGCUCGCUGGACAGCACGUGACGCUGAGGCGCGAAAGUGUGGGGAGCAAACCGGAUUAGAUACCCCGGUAGUC